Long non-coding RNA from Parambassis ranga (Indian glassy fish), 2102 nucleotides. Ensembl annotates it as cartilage oligomeric matrix protein. NCBI's taxonomy places the organism in Eukaryota, Metazoa, Chordata, Actinopteri, Ambassidae. The record is from Ensembl.
AUGGAGUGUGAAGCCUGUGGUAUGCAGCCUCGUCCCUCAUGUGUGCCCAACCCUUGCCACCCUGGGGUGAAGUGCGUGGAAACACCUCAGGGUAUACAGUGUGGGCCCUGUCCUGACGGCAUGGAAGGAAACGGUACCCAUUGCACUGACAUCGAUGAGUGCACUGUUAUGCCGUGUCACAUGGGUGUUCGCUGCAUCAACACCUCUCCGGGUUUCCGCUGUGGUUCCUGUCCUGCUGGAUACACUGGGCCGCAGGUGCAGGGCGUCGGCCUCGCCUACGCUACCACCAACAAACAGGUGUGUAAAGACAUCAAUGAGUGUGAUGGUCCCAACAAUGGAGGCUGUGUGGAGAACUCUGUCUGUAUGAACACCCCCGGCUCCUUCCGGUGUGGUCCAUGUAAGCCCGGUUAUGUUGGAGAUCAACGGCGUGGCUGUAAGCCUGAGAGAAGCUGUGGGAAUGGCCAACCCAACCCCUGCCAUGCCAGUGCAGAGUGUAUCGUCCACCGAGAGGGGACCAUUGAGUGUCAGGAUAACUGUCUAACUGUUCCCAACUCUGGUCAAGAAGACGCCGACAGCGAUGGAAUUGGAGACGCCUGUGAUGAAGAUGCGGAUGGAGACGGGAUCCUAAACACACAGGAUAACUGUGUGCUGGUGCCCAAUGUGGACCAGAGGAAUGUUGAUGAGGACGACUUUGGCGAUGCCUGCGAUAACUGCCGUGCAGUGAAAAACAACGACCAGAAGGACACGGAUGUGGACAAAUUUGGUGACGAAUGUGAUGAAGAUAUAGAUGGAGAUGGAAUCCUCAAUCACCUCGACAACUGUAAAAGGGUUCCCAACGCUGACCAGAAAGAUCGAGAUGGAGACAAAGUCGGAGACGCAUGCGACAGUUGUCCUUAUAUACCCAACCCUGAGCAGACGGACGUGGACAAUGACCUGAUUGGAGACCCCUGUGACACCAACAAGGACAGUGAUGGCGAUGGUCACCAGGACUCUCGAGACAACUGUCCAGCUGUCAUCAACAGCUCGCAGCUGGACACUGACAAAGACGGAAAGGGAGACGAGUGUGAUGAUGAUGAUGAUAAUGACGGUAUCCCUGACCUUCUGCCACCUGGUCCUGAUAACUGUCGCCUGAUUCCUAACCCUCUGCAGGAGGACUCUGAUGGCAACGGUGUUGGUAACGUGUGCGAGAAGGACUUUGACAAUGACACUAUAGUCGACACCAUCGAUGUUUGUCCAGAAAAUGCAGAGGUCACCCUCACUGACUUCAGGGAGUACCAGACGGUUGUUCUAGACCCGGAAGGAGAUGCACAGAUCGACCCCAACUGGGUGGUUCUGAACCAGGGAAGAGAGAUCGUCCAGACUAUGAACAGUGAUCCUGGGUUGGCUGUUGGUUACACUGCUUUCAGCGGCGUUGAUUUUGAAGGCACGUUUCAUGUUAAUACGGUAACGGAUGACGACUACGCUGGUUUCAUCUUUGGCUACCAGGACAGCUCCAGUUUCUAUGUGGUCAUGUGGAAGCAGGUGGAGCAGAUCUACUGGCAGGCAAACCCAUUCAGAGCUGUGGCAGAGCCGGGAAUCCAACUGAAGGCAGUCAAGUCAAACACUGGUCCUGGUGAAAAUCUGAGGAACGCCCUGUGGCACACCGGUGACACCAGUGACCAGGUGAAACUCCUGUGGAAAGACGCUCGUAAUGUUGGCUGGAAAGACAAGACGUCGUACCGCUGGUUCCUCCAGCACCGACCUGCUGAUGGUUACAUCAGAGUUCGCUUCUACGAGGGUCCUCAGAUGGUGGCAGACACGGGAGUCAUCAUAGACGCCACAAUGAGGGGAGGCCGGCUAGGAGUCUUCUGCUUUUCCCAGGAAAACAUCAUCUGGGCCAACCUGAGAUAUCGUUGCAACGACACUCUUCCUGAGGACUUUGAAACCUACAGAGCCCAGCAGGUCCAGUUGGUCGCAUGAUGACAACAAACAGGUCCAAGCAAACAUUGUUUUCCAACGCACAACUGGUUAGGAAAAUGUCUCCAAUUUUAAGAUGAAAACUGCUCGAGUGAGGAGAAAAUUACACCGCUAUAAAAACUCUUCAGAGAGGAGCCGGUAAUAUA